AUUGAACGCUGGCGGCAGGCUUAACACAUGCAAGUCGAGCGGGGGAAGGUAGCUUGCUACCGGACCUAGCGGCGGACGGGGGAGUAAUGCUUAGGAAUCUGCCUAUUAGUGGGGGACAACAUCUCGAAAGGGAUGCUAAUACCGCAUACGUCCUACGGGAGAAAGCAGGGGAUCUUCGGACCUUGCGCUAAUAGAUGAGCCUAAGUCGGAUUAGCUAGUGGGUGGGGUAAAGGCCUACCAAGGCGACGAUCUGUAGCGGGUCUGAGAGGAUGAUCCGCCACACUGGGACUGAGACACGGCGCAGACUCCUACGGGAGGCAGCAGUGGGGAAUAUUGGACAAUGGGGGGAACCCUGAUCCAGCCAUGCCGCGUGUGUGAAGAAGGCCUUAUGGUUGUAAAGCACUUUAAGCGAGGAGGAGGCUACUUUAGUUAAUACCGAGAGAUAGUGGACGUUACUCGCAGAAUAAGCACCGGCUAACUCUGUGCCAGCCGCCGCGGUAA
RNAcentral lists this ribosomal RNA (501 nucleotides) under uncultured bacterium. Its description in RNAcentral is "partial 16S ribosomal RNA". It matches the Rfam family "Bacterial small subunit ribosomal RNA", at positions 30 to 523 of the family's 1533-position model. The record is from RNAcentral.